This 58-nucleotide microRNA precursor is filed under the name Bos taurus (domestic cattle). RNAcentral's name for it is "miRNA (ENSBTAG00000073428.1, ENSBTAG00095020052.1)". The record is from RNAcentral. Lineage: Eukaryota; Metazoa; Chordata; Mammalia; Artiodactyla; Bovidae.
CACUUCAGGAAGUGCCAUCCAUGUGGAUAGAAAUAUGAUUGGCAUUUCUUAGAGUGGA